RNAcentral lists this ribosomal RNA (1318 nucleotides) under Mycobacteroides abscessus. Its description in RNAcentral is "bacterial SSU rRNA". It matches the Rfam family "Bacterial small subunit ribosomal RNA", at positions 38 to 1374 of the family's 1533-position model. Lineage: Bacteria; Bacillati; Actinomycetota; Actinomycetes; Mycobacteriales; Mycobacteriaceae. The record is from RNAcentral.
AGGGGGGGGGUGCUUACCAUGCAAGUCGAACGGAAAGGCCCUUCGGGGUACUCGAGUGGCGAACGGGUGAGUAACACGUGGGUGAUCUGCCCUGCACUCUGGGAUAAGCCUGGGAAACUGGGUCUAAUACCGGAUAGGACCACACACUUCAUGGUGAGUGGUGCAAAGCUUUUGCGGUGUGGGAUGAGCCCGCGGCCUAUCAGCUUGUUGGUGGGGUAAUGGCCUACCAAGGCGACGACGGGUAGCCGGCCUGAGAGGGUGACCGGCCACACUGGGACUGAGAUACGGCCCAGACUCCUACGGGAGGCAGCAGUGGGGAAUAUUGCACAAUGGGCGCAAGCCUGAUGCAGCGACGCCGCGUGAGGGAUGACGGCCUUCGGGUUGUAAACCUCUUUCAGUAGGGACGAAGCGAAAGUGACGGUACCUACAGAAGAAGGACCGGCCAACUACGUGCCAGCAGCCGCGGUAAUACGUAGGGUCCGAGCGUUGUCCGGAAUUACUGGGCGUAAAGAGCUCGUAGGUGGUUUGUCGCGUUGUUCGUGAAAACUCACAGCUUAACUGUGGGCGUGCGGGCGAUACGGGCAGACUAGAGUACUGCAGGGGAGACUGGAAUUCCUGGUGUAGCGGUGGAAUGCGCAGAUAUCAGGAGGAACACCGGUGGCGAAGGCGGGUCUCUGGGCAGUAACUGACGCUGAGGAGCGAAAGCGUGGGUAGCGAACAGGAUUAGAUACCCUGGUAGUCCACGCCGUAAACGGUGGGUACUAGGUGUGGGUUUCCUUCCUUGGGAUCCGUGCCGUAGCUAACGCAUUAAGUACCCCGCCUGGGGAGUACGGUCGCAAGACUAAAACUCAAAGGAAUUGACGGGGGCCCGCACAAGCGGCGGAGCAUGUGGAUUAAUUCGAUGCAACGCGAAGAACCUUACCUGGGUUUGACAUGCACAGGACGUACCUAGAGAUAGGUAUUCCCUUGUGGCCUGUGUGCAGGUGGUGCAUGGCUGUCGUCAGCUCGUGUCGUGAGAUGUUGGGUUAAGUCCCGCAACGAGCGCAACCCUUGUCCUAUGUUGCCAGCGGGUAAUGCCGGGGACUCGUAGGAGACUGCCGGGGUCAACUCGGAGGAAGGUGGGGAUGACGUCAAGUCAUCAUGCCCCUUAUGUCCAGGGCUUCACACAUGCUACAAUGGCCAGUACAGAGGGCUGCGAAGCCGUAAGGUGGAGCGAAUCCCUUAAAGCUGGUCUCAGUUCGGAUUGGGGUCUGCAACUCGACCCCAUGAAGUCGGAGUCGCUAGUAAUCGCAGAUCAGCAAUCGCUGCGAAUCGUUUC